GCACUGCUGAGGAGUCCCAAAAUAGGACAAAACAGUCGUCCAGUGC
Schistosoma mattheei is the source of this 46-nucleotide non-coding RNA. NCBI's taxonomy places the organism in Eukaryota, Metazoa, Platyhelminthes, Trematoda, Strigeidida, Schistosomatidae. The record is from Rfam.